CGGGUGCGUAACACGUGAGGAACCUGCCCCGGUCUCUGGAAUAACAGUGGGAAACCACUGCUAAUACCGGAUAUCUCCUCGGAACCGCAUGGCUCUGAGAAGAAAGGGUUACCGGAUCGGGAGGGUCUCGCGGCCUAUCAGCUUGUUGGUGGGGUAAUGGCCUACCAAGGCUCCGACGGGUAGCUGGUCUGAGAGGACGAUCAGCCACACUGGGACUGAGACACGGCCCAG
This 231-nucleotide ribosomal RNA is filed under the name uncultured bacterium. Its description in RNAcentral is "partial 16S ribosomal RNA". It matches the Rfam family "Bacterial small subunit ribosomal RNA", at positions 103 to 334 of the family's 1533-position model. The record is from RNAcentral.